This 147-nucleotide long non-coding RNA is filed under the name Octopus sinensis (East Asian common octopus). RNAcentral describes it as "uncharacterized LOC118765987, transcript variant X1". The record is from RNAcentral. Lineage: Eukaryota; Metazoa; Mollusca; Cephalopoda; Octopoda; Octopodidae.
GCCCAAUUGAUUUAAAAUGAAAACUGAAUGGUACAAAAAAACAAUAAAAAUAGAAAGAAGAUAUUAAAGAGAAGAUAGCGAGAGAGAGAGAGAAGAGAGAGAGAGAGAGAGAGAGAGAGAGAGAGAGAGAGAGGGAGAGAGAGAGAA